Molecule: long non-coding RNA, 326 nt
Organism: Gallus gallus (chicken)
Lineage: Eukaryota; Metazoa; Chordata; Aves; Galliformes; Phasianidae
Source: Ensembl
GAAGCAGCAAAUAUCAGGAAUGCCCUGCAAAGAGGACUAGGUUUAUAUCCUCUUUUUACUUUAGGGAAUCCAAACUGCAGGAUCCUGUAUCCCAAGAUCAACUCAUCCUAUGGCAGCAACAGAGUUCUCAGGUGCUCUUUCCCUUUGAGGACAGUGUGUGACGAGUCCCAAGUUGAAUGGAAAGUCAUCUGAAGAUCCUUCUUCGUACACAGCAGCAAUCUGUGGUCUUGGAACAUGCAACUGAUUGAAGCUGAAGGUGGUGGCAGAGACACUGAUGGAGCAGCUGCUGAAAAUAACAGCUCAUGGGACUGAAGGAUAUUAUUAAG